GUAUCCUUAGCUCAGCAGGCAGAGCAUCCGGCCCAUAACCGGAAAGUUACUGGUUCGACCCCAGCAGGAUCCA
Molecule: transfer RNA, 73 nt
Filed under: Dorea sp.
Lineage: Bacteria; Bacillati; Bacillota; Clostridia; Lachnospirales; Lachnospiraceae
Description: tRNA-Met
Rfam family: tRNA
About the family: Transfer RNA (tRNA) molecules are approximately 80 nucleotides in length. Their secondary structure includes four short double-helical elements and three loops (D, anti-codon, and T loops).
Source: RNAcentral